ACGAACGCUGGCGGCGUGCUUAACACAUGCCAGUCGAACGGAAAGGCCCUGCUUUUGUGGGGUGCUCGAGUGGCGAACGGGUGAGUAACACGUGAGUAACCUGCCCUUGACUUUGGGAUAACUUCAAGAAACUGGGGCUAAUACCGGAUAGGAGCUCCUGCUGCAUGGUGGGGGUUGGAAAGUUUCGGCGGUUGGGGAUGGACUCGCGGCUUAUCAGCUUGUUGGUGGGGUAGUGGCUUACCAAGGCUUUGACGGGUAGCCGGCCUGAGAGGGUGACCGGCCACAUUGGGACUGAGAUACGGCCCAGACUCCUACGGGAGGCAGCAGUGGGGAAUAUUGCACAAUGGGCGGAAGCCUGAUGCAGCAACGCCGCGUGCGGGAUGACGGCCUUCGGGUUGUAAACCGCUUUCGCCUGUGACGAAGCGUGAGUGACGGUAAUGGGUAAAGAAGCACCGGCUAACUACGUG
RNAcentral lists this ribosomal RNA (467 nucleotides) under uncultured bacterium. Its description in RNAcentral is "partial 16S ribosomal RNA". It matches the Rfam family "Bacterial small subunit ribosomal RNA", at positions 29 to 507 of the family's 1533-position model. The record is from RNAcentral.